ACGUACGCUGGCGGCACGCCUAACACAUGCAAGUCGAACGAAGUAGCAAUACUUAGUGGCAGACGGGUGAGUAACAUGUAGGUAUCUGCCCUUUGGCCUGGAAUAACACGAGGAAACUUGUGCUAAUACCGGAUAAGUCUUUACAGAGAAAGCUUUAUGCACCAUUGGAUGAGCCUGCACUUGAUUAGUUUGUUGGUGGGGUAAUGGCCUACCAAGACUGUGAUCAAUAGCUGAUUUGAGAGGAUGAUCAGCCACAUUGGGACUGAGACACGGCCCAAACUCCUACGGGAGGCAGCAGUGGGGAAUCUUGCACAAUGGAGGAAACUCUGAUGCAGCGAUGCCGCGUGAGUGAAGAAGGCCUUUGGGUUGUAAAGCUCUUUCGUCGGGGAAGAAAAUGACUGUACCCGAAUAAGAAGGUCCGGCUAACUUCGUGCCAGCAGCCGCGGUAAUACGAAGGGACCUAGCGUAGUUCGGAAUUACUGGGCUUAAAGAGUUCGUAGGUGGUUGAAAAAGUUAGUGGUGAAAUCCCAGAGCUUAACUCUGGAACUGCCAUUAAAACUUUUCAGCUAGAGUAUGAUAGAGGAAAGCAGAAUUUCUAGUGUAGAGGUGAAAUUCGUAGAUAUUAGAAAGAAUACCAAUUGCGAAGGCAGCUUUCUGGAUCAUUACUGACACUGAGGAACGAAAGCAUGGGUAGCGAAGAGGAUUAGAUACCCUCGUAGUCCAUGCCGUAAACGAUGUGUGUUAGACGUUGGAAAUUUAUUUUCAGUGUCGCAGCGAAAGCGAUAAACACACCGCCUGGGGAGUACGACCGCAAGGUUAAAACUCAAAUGAAUUGACGGGGACCCGCACAAGUAGUGGAGCAUGUGGUUUAAUUCGAAGAUACGCGCAGAACCUUACCAACACUUGACAUGUUCGUCGCGACUCUAAGAGAUUAGAGUUUUCGGUUCGGCCGGACGAAACACAGGUGCUGCAUGGCUGUCGUCAGCUCGUGUCGUGAGAUGUUGGGUUAAGUCCCGCAACGAGCGCAACCCUCACUUUUAGUUGCCAUCAUUAAGUUGGGCACUCUGAAAGAACUGCCAGUGAUAAGCUGGAGGAAGGUGGGGAUGACGUCAAGUCCUCAUGGCCCUUACGUGUUGGGCUACACACGUGCUACAAUGGUAUCUACAACAGGAAGCAAGACUGCGAAGUUAAGCAAAUCCCUAAAAGAUACCUCAGUUCGGAUUGCACUCUGCAACUCGAGUGCAUGAAGCUGGAAUUACUAGUAAUCGUGGAUCAGCGUGCCACGGUGAAUGCGUUCCCGGGUCUUGUACACACCGC
RNAcentral lists this ribosomal RNA (1317 nucleotides) under uncultured Alphaproteobacteria bacterium. RNAcentral describes it as "bacterial SSU rRNA". It matches the Rfam family "Bacterial small subunit ribosomal RNA", at positions 29 to 1393 of the family's 1533-position model. Lineage: Bacteria; Pseudomonadati; Pseudomonadota; Alphaproteobacteria. The record is from RNAcentral.